RNAcentral lists this long non-coding RNA (2597 nucleotides) under Homo sapiens (human). Its description in RNAcentral is "HSALNT0404282". Lineage: Eukaryota; Metazoa; Chordata; Mammalia; Primates; Hominidae. The record is from RNAcentral.
AGGUUCUGAGAGGCGGGCUAGUGGCUUGUACUAUAGCAUAGCCUGCCUUUGCUGGUGUGUGGCAAUUAGGCCUGGUGGAACUGCCAUCAAUAAAUCAAGCGUGAUCAGGGUGAGGAACAGGAAAGAAGGAAAUAUGGGGAAACGGGGUGAAUAUCAGGUGGAUCAGAGAGAUACAGUCAUGGGGGUCAUGUGUGGUAUCAGGAAUAAUGUGAGAGGCCAGAUUGAAGUCCACGCCAGGAACAAUGGUAAUUGUGGGAGACUCAACAAAGAGUGAGUAUAGCUGAAGGAGCCGGGAAGCAGAAAGUAUAUGCGUCAGGUAUGAGGAAGAAAAUAGAUUUUGGAAGUUAUGAGAACUGUAGAGAGUGAGUUGAGCAUAGUUUGUGAUUUUGAGGGCCUCUAAAAGUAUUAAAGCAGCGGCAGCCGCUGCACGCAGACACGAGGGGUAGGCUAAAACAGUAAGGUCAAGUUGUUUGCACAGAAAGGCUACAGGGUGCGGUCCUGGCUCUUGUGUAAGAAUUCUGACUGCACUAACUAUGCCUAGGAAGGAAAGGAGUUGUUGUUUUGUAAGAGAUUGAGGUUUGGGAGAUUAAUAGGACACGAUCAGCAGGGAAAGCACGUAUGUUUUUAUGAGAAUUAUGCCGAGAUAGGUAACAGAUGAGGAUGAAAUUUGGGCUUGACUGAAGUAAUGGGGGCUGUCUAUGAAGCCUUGUGGCAGUACAGCCUAGGUAAUUUGCUGAGCCUAAUAGGUGUCAGGGUCAGUCCAAGUGAAAGAAAAGAGAGGCUGGGACGAGGGGUGCAGGGGAAUAGUGAAAAAAGCAUCUUUAAGAUCAAGCACGGAAUAGUGAGUGGUGGAGGAAGGUAUUGAGGAUAGGAGAGUAUAUGGGUUGGGCACCACAGGGGGGAUAGGCAAAACAAUUUGGUUGAUAAGGCACAGAUCCUGAACUAACUUGUAAGGCUUGUCUGGUUUUAGGACAGGUAAAAUGGGGGAAUUGUAAGGAGAGUUUAUAGGCUUUAAAAGGCCAUGCUGUAGCAGGCGAGUGAUAACAGGUUUAAUCUUUUUAAAGCGUGCUGUGGGAUGGGAUAUUGGCAUUGAGUGGGGUAAGGGUGAUUAGGUUUUAAUGAGAUGGUAAGGGGUGCAUGAUUGGUAGCCAAGGAGGGAGUAGAGGUAUCUUAUACUUGUGGGUUAAGGUGGGGGGAUACAAGAGGAGGACGCAAAGGAGGCUUUGAAUUGGGAAGAAGGGUGGCAAUGAGAUACAGCUGUAGUCCAGGAAUAGUCAGGGAAGCAGAUAAUUUAGUUAAAGUGUCUCAGCCUAAUAAGGGAACUGGGCAGGUGGGGAUAAUGAAAAAGGAGUGCUUAAAAGAGUAUUGUCUAAGUUGGCACCAGAGUUGGGGAGUUUUAGGAGGUUUAGAAGCCUGGCCGUCAAUACCCACAACAGUUAUGGAGGCAAGGGAAACAGGUCCUUGAAAAGAAGAUAAUGUGGAGUGGGUAGCCUCCGUAUUGAUUAAGAAGGGGACGGGCUUACCUUCCACCGUGAGAGUUACCUGAAGCUCGGCGUCCGUGAUGGUCUAGGGGGCUUCCAAGGUGAUUGGGCAGUGUCAUCUUCAGCCGCUAAGCCGAGAAGAUCUGGGAAGGAGUCAGUCAGCCUUGGGCCAGAGUUCCAGGGGUUCUGGGAGUGGCUGUCAGAAUGCAGUGUACCAAGUGGCCUCCUUCAUUGCCUGCAUUUUGAAUGCAGUCAGGCUGCACAGUGGAAUGGAAAUCCCUGGCCAAGAUAUACCUCUUAAAAGAAAAUAAUCUCUUCCUCUGUGUGUAUGCCUGCGUCUACAUAUGUAUUGUGGGGACCAGAAUAUACCACCCCAAAAUAUAAAUGACUGUUGAACUGAAGGCAAUUAAGAAGAAGUAGGUACAGGAAAGAGCUCUCCUCUCCCUUUAUUUGCCUAAAAGUAGGACACAGGCUUAUAAGGACAAAAGGAAUCCUGCCCUGCCUUCUUCUCCUAUGGGAGAACAAAGGUUAACCACGGAAGACAACCUUGGGCACUGAUGACCCUGGAGAUGAUACCAGAGGCAUCUCCACGAGCAAGCUUCCCUAACUCGCCUUUAUUUACCAUUAUGUGUCUUCCUGCAAGCUGCUGCCCUGGAGAACCCAAGUCCUUUUCUUUGUCUUGUUACUUCCUUAAAAAUGUACUGUUCUUUGUUAAAAAUGCUAUACAAGCCAGAAUUCAAAGCCAUCCCUUUGAGGACUACUCAUUCCCUUGGCGUCUUUCAUGUACCUAUGAAAUAUACACAUUAAUAAACUUCCAUUUGUUUUUCUCUCAUUAAUCUGUCUUUUGCUACAAGAGUCCAUUCCAACUCUGAACUUAUGAGUGUUAAUUAUCUUUAUUCCCCCAGAGUUCAUAUGCGUGUGCGUUCGUAUGAAUACAAGUGAAACACUGUUUUUCCUCAUAUGAAACAUUAUUUUUUCUUCAACAUUUUGCAUUUUAUGUUAUCUAUCUUAAGCAUUCAAAUAGGAUCCCAAAGAGUAAGUUCAUUUUUUUAUAAUGUCAUAAAAAACUAGAGAGAUGAAGAGAGGGGCAAAGCAGAACUGCUCUCAAAAACCUGC